UCCAGACUCCUACGGGAGGCAGCAGUGGGGAAUAUUGGGCAAUGGGCGCAAGCCUGACCCAGCAAUGCCGCGUGAAGGAAGAAGGCUUUCGGGUUGUAAACUUCUUUGACAGGGGAAGAGCAGAAGACGGUACCCUGAAAACAAGCCACGGCUAACUACGUGCCAGCAGCCGCGGUAAUACGUAGGUGGCAAGCGUUAUCCGGAUUUACUGGGUGUAAAGGGCGUGUAGGCGGGGACGCAAGUCAGAUGUGAAAACCACGGGCUCAACCUGUGGCCUGCAUUUGAAACUGUGUUUCUUGAGUACUGGAGAGGCAGACGGAAUUCCUAGUGUAGCGGUGAAAUGCGUAGAUAUUAGGAGGAACACCAGUGGCGAAGGCGGUCUGCUGGACAGCAACUGACGCUGAGGCGCGAAAGCGUGGGGAGCAAACAGGAUUAGAUACCCCAGUA
RNAcentral lists this ribosomal RNA (447 nucleotides) under uncultured bacterium. RNAcentral's name for it is "bacterial SSU rRNA". It matches the Rfam family "Bacterial small subunit ribosomal RNA", at positions 330 to 792 of the family's 1533-position model. The record is from RNAcentral.